CUUCAGUUCCCAGGAGACCCUGCUUGACAGGCGUGGGAGGAAGCCAUCUGCUGUGGAGGCAGGGGUCGGACGCAUGACUUCCGGAGGUGUUGGGCAACCUCAGCUGGGGAGACCUUAGCCACCCUCAGGAAACAAAUGUUCAGUCCAAGCAAAGGCCCGGCCCAGAGUGGUCACUGGCUUAAUUCUUGUCCUUGCCCUGUAGUUCUGCUACUGCUGGCCUAUGAAGAUGAAGGUCAAUGAAGAAGCGUCAGGCCCCCACCUGCAGGCCAGGGCUAGUGCAGCAGUGCCGGGGCCGAGAAAAAGCCAGAACUUUGUUCUGUGCAUCUGCACCCGAACAUAAGUGCAUACGGCGAUGUAGAAUUGGUUUUAUUUUUAACAAAUGGGGCUCUACUGUAUAUGCAUGCACGUUUUACUUUUUAACCUUAACAGUAGACGUGUGGCAUCUUUCCUUUCUGCAUGUGUUGAUCCAUCUUAGUCUUUGGAACAGUCGCAAUGGAUCCCAUAGUAUGGGAUAGUUUAUUAAACCAGUCCCCUGCUGAUGGCCAUUUAGGUCGUGUACAAUUUGCCCCUCUUAUAUGCACUACAAUUUUACAUAUAUCAUUGUGCAUGUGUGAGUACUUCUGUAGGAUAACCCAGAAGAGGAAUGCUGGAUUAAAUAGUUAUAUUUUAUCUCAGUAUAACCCUGUCCCCCUAACUAGACUGUAAGCUCUGGGCGGAGAGUCAGCGUCCUGCAGCCCUGGGAGGGGAGAGGGCAGACAAGGAAGAGAUCAAGGAGGUGAAAGCUUCUUGUGGAAACCUUCUGACUUGCAGGUGGGAGGAUGUUUAUCUUCCACCAGGUUCUCCUGGGGAAAAACAUCUCCAACACCAGUUCUGGCCUUCUGAGGACACAGGGCACUGAAUCAAGACCCAUCUUUCUGGACCUCUGGAUCAGGCCCACAUUUGGCACAGUGCAGGGGAAUCCUGGCUUGGCUGAGCCAAAGCAGGAGCCGGCCUCCCUCCUCACGUGGAGCUGGGACAGGAUCACAAGCAGGAUGUUUGGGUGGCACCUCCACCCUUCCCUCUGUGUGGCCCCUGGGACCUGCAUUGCCUCCAGCCUGGGGCCCUCUCCCUCCCCUGUUUGCCUGCUAGAGCCCAGGGUCUCAGCUCCCUUCACCAGGGCUGCACACCUCCAGAAAGCACACCUGGGCGUGGUAGGGCCCGCAGUCCAGAGAACUUUCGAAGUGCAAAGCCCACCGGCGGCACCUGGAAAGGGGCGGGUGGAGUGCAGGCCAGAAGCUGGGGAUUUUUCCUUAAUAACAACCUGGCGCCCUAAUUCAUUGGCGGCUCUGCCUGCCUGCAAGCUGGCUUGCACCCCCUCUCCCCUCCUGGAGAAGCCUUCAUCUUCAAAGCUUUUUGGGAAACAGUUAAUUAACCCCCACAGCCCUACCACCUGCCCAGAAGGCUGCUGGUUCCCUCUUCUCCAUGGGGCGGGGAAAGGGGAGGGCCAGGGAAACUGAAGCCUGAAGAAAGAGUGUGUGGCUGGGACCUGAGAGAUCGCAGGAUCCCAGACAAGGAAGCUGCCUUCCCUUUCAAUCCCCCCCAGCCCCACCCCUCAAAGGGCUGGUGGGACCCCCAGAGGCCAAGCCACACAGCCAAAGUGCUAAGGGUUGAGGAGCUUAUCUUGCAACACAGUUUAUUUUGGGUCUGCAUGAGAUCAGGCUGCUGCAGCACAGAGUGAGAGCAGCGAACUCCCCCGUCUCCAGCCUCAGCCUUGCUAGGACAACAUCUCUAGUAUCCUCAUCGUUGCAUCCUGUUGAGAAGGAGGGGUGCUGAAAGUCACUGGGUGUUGCUGCUGGGCUGAGACAGGGCUGUGAGACAAGCAGUGCUCCAGUGUUCUAUGAUGCAGGCAGUCUGGGCUCUAGUCCCAGCACUGCCACUAAUGUGUUGUGUGGUCUUGGAUAAGUCACUUAACCUCUCUGGGCCUCUACUGCUGCAUCAGUAGGAUGGAGGAGGCAGGGGCUAGAUGAUCUGGGCCCUCCAAAUUCUACUAUGUAGGAGCUUCAUGGACUGGUGAAUUUUCAUCUGUUUCGUCCUGACUCCUCUGAAGGGACAAAAAGGGAGUCGGCUGGCUUAGCACUGCCUGGGUACUUGCUUUGUUCUUGGGACUGUGCUGAAAGUUUCAUAUUCAGUCUCUUGUUUCAGCUUCACAACAGCCCUGUGAGGGGGGAAUUAUGCCCAUUUUACAGAUGAGGACACUGAGGCACUGGGGAAUUGGCCAUUGAGGCUGGAGGUUGGAGAAGAGGCAUGGUCUCAGCCCCUGUACAUGUUCCCUCAGGGCAAUGCAUCCUGGAGAUUCCUGCAUGCCGUCUUCCCAGUCCCCAAGUUUAACACUCUGCUAGCAGCUUUUGUCUGGCUAAUCAG
RNAcentral lists this long non-coding RNA (2400 nucleotides) under Equus caballus (horse). Its description in RNAcentral is "lncRNA (ENSECAG00000050300.1)". The record is from RNAcentral. Lineage: Eukaryota; Metazoa; Chordata; Mammalia; Perissodactyla; Equidae.